GUGGAGACGCUCCUUCAGAGCAUCUGCCUUGCAUGCAGAAGGUCCCAGGUUUAAUCCCUGGAAUCUCCACU
This is a non-coding RNA of Podarcis lilfordi (Lilford's wall lizard), 71 nucleotides long. Lineage: Eukaryota; Metazoa; Chordata; Lepidosauria; Squamata; Lacertidae. The record is from the annotation of a GenBank genome assembly.